UCUCUAUGCGGUGUCAGCAGCCGCGGUAAUACGUAGGGUGCAAGCGUUAAUCGGAAUUACUGGGCGUAAAGCGUGCGCAGGCGGUUUUGUAAGUCUGUCGUGAAAUCCCCGGGCUCAACCUGGGAAUGGCGAUGGAGACUGCAAGGCUAGAGUUUGGCAGAGGGGGGUAGAAUUCCACGUGUAGCAGUGAAAUGCGUAGAUAUGUGGAGGACACCGAUGGCGAAGGCAGCCCCCUGGGUCAAAACUGACGCUCAUGCACGAAAGCGUGGGGAGCAAACAGGAUUAGAUACCCUGGUAGUCCACGCCCUAAACGAUGUCUACUAGUUGUCGGGUCUUAAUUGACUUGGUAACGCAGCUAACGCGUGAAGUAGACCGCCUGGGGAUACGGUCGC
Molecule: ribosomal RNA, 392 nt
Filed under: uncultured bacterium
Lineage: Bacteria
Description: bacterial SSU rRNA
Rfam family: Bacterial small subunit ribosomal RNA
Source: RNAcentral